UUAGUACUCCCUCUGUCCGGAAUUACUUGUCCACAAAUGGAUAAAAGUAAAUGUAUCCAGAACUAAAAUAUGUCUAGAUACAUCCAUUUCUAUGACAAGUAUUUCCGGACGGAGGGAGUAUGUC
Non-coding RNA from Triticum aestivum (bread wheat), 124 nucleotides. Lineage: Eukaryota; Viridiplantae; Streptophyta; Magnoliopsida; Poales; Poaceae. The record is from Rfam.